This 100-nucleotide ribosomal RNA is filed under the name Anaerolineae bacterium. Its description in RNAcentral is "partial 23S ribosomal RNA". It matches the Rfam family "Bacterial large subunit ribosomal RNA", at positions 2825 to 2925 of the family's 2925-position model. Lineage: Bacteria; Bacillati; Chloroflexota; Anaerolineae. The record is from RNAcentral.
AGGGUAAGUGCGCUGGAAGACUACCAGCUUGAUAGGCGAGGCGUGUACGCGCAGUAAUGCGUUUAGCGGACUCGUACUAAUGCACGAGGGCUUUCUACGC